RNAcentral lists this ribosomal RNA (2541 nucleotides) under Escherichia coli. Its description in RNAcentral is "partial 23S ribosomal RNA". It matches the Rfam family "Bacterial large subunit ribosomal RNA", at positions 418 to 2925 of the family's 2925-position model. The record is from RNAcentral. Lineage: Bacteria; Pseudomonadati; Pseudomonadota; Gammaproteobacteria; Enterobacterales; Enterobacteriaceae.
CGGGACACGUGGUAUCCUGUCUGAAUAUGGGGGGACCAUCCUCCAAGGCUAAAUACUCCUGACUGACCGAUAGUGAACCAGUACCGUGAGGGAAAGGCGAAAAGAACCCCGGCGAGGGGAGUGAAAAAGAACCUGAAACCGUGUACGUACAAGCAGUGGGAGCACGCUUCGGCGUGUGACUGCGUACCUUUUGUAUAAUGGGUCAGCGACUUAUAUUCUGUAGCAAGGUUAACCGAAUAGGGGAGCCGAAGGGAAACCGAGUCUUAACUGGGCGUUAAGUUGCAGGGUAUAGACCCGAAACCCGGUGAUCUAGCCAUGGGCAGGUUGAAGGUUGGGUAACACUAACUGGAGGACCGAACCGACUAAUGUUGAAAAAUUAGCGGAUGACUUGUGGCUGGGGGUGAAAGGCCAAUCAAACCGGGAGAUAGCUGGUUCUCCCCGAAAGCUAUUUAGGUAGCGCCUCGUGAAUUCAUCUCCGGGGGUAGAGCACUGUUUCGGCAAGGGGGUCAUCCCGACUUACCAACCCGAUGCAAACUGCGAAUACCGGAGAAUGUUAUCACGGGAGACACACGGCGGGUGCUAACGUCCGUCGUGAAGAGGGAAACAACCCAGACCGCCAGCUAAGGUCCCAAAGUCAUGGUUAAGUGGGAAACGAUGUGGGAAGGCCCAGACAGCCAGGAUGUUGGCUUAGAAGCAGCCAUCAUUUAAAGAAAGCGUAAUAGCUCACUGGUCGAGUCGGCCUGCGCGGAAGAUGUAACGGGGCUAAACCAUGCACCGAAGCUGCGGCAGCGACGCUUAUGCGUUGUUGGGUAGGGGAGCGUUCUGUAAGCCUGUGAAGGUGUACUGUGAGGUAUGCUGGAGGUAUCAGAAGUGCGAAUGCUGACAUAAGUAACGAUAAAGCGGGUGAAAAGCCCGCUCGCCGGAAGACCAAGGGUUCCUGUCCAACGUUAAUCGGGGCAGGGUGAGUCGACCCCUAAGGCGAGGCCGAAAGGCGUAGUCGAUGGGAAACAGGUUAAUAUUCCUGUACUUGGUGUUACUGCGAAGGGGGGACGGAGAAGGCUAUGUUGGCCGGGCGACGGUUGUCCCGGUUUAAGCGUGUAGGCUGGUUUUCCAGGCAAAUCCGGAAAAUCAAGGCUGAGGCGUGAUGACGAGGCACUACGGUGCUGAAGCAACAAAUGCCCUGCUUCCAGGAAAAGCCUCUAAGCAUCAGGUAACAUCAAAUCGUACCCCAAACCGACACAGGUGGUCAGGUAGAGAAUACCAAGGCGCUUGAGAGAACUCGGGUGAAGGAACUAGGCAAAAUGGUGCCGUAACUUCGGGAGAAGGCACGCUGAUAUGUAGGUGAAGUCCCUCGCGGAUGGAGCUGAAAUCAGUCGAAGAUACCAGCUGGCUGCAACUGUUUAUUAAAAACACAGCACUGUGCAAACACGAAAGUGGACGUAUACGGUGUGACGCCUGCCCGGUGCCGGAAGGUUAAUUGAUGGGGUUAGCGGUAACGCGAAGCUCUUGAUCGAAGCCCCGGUAAACGGCGGCCGUAACUAUAACGGUCCUAAGGUAGCGAAAUUCCUUGUCGGGUAAGUUCCGACCUGCACGAAUGGCGUAAUGAUGGCCAGGCUGUCUCCACCCGAGACUCAGUGAAAUUGAACUCGCUGUGAAGAUGCAGUGUACCCGCGGCAAGACGGAAAGACCCCGUGAACCUUUACUAUAGCUUGACACUGAACAUUGAGCCUUGAUGUGUAGGAUAGGUGGGAGGCUUUGAAGUGUGGACGCCAGUCUGCAUGGAGCCGACCUUGAAAUACCACCCUUUAAUGUUUGAUGUUCUAACGUUGGCCCCUGAUCGGGGUUGCGGACAGUGUCUGGUGGGUAGUUUGACUGGGGCGGUCUCCUCCUAAAGAGUAACGGAGGAGCACGAAGGUUGGCUAAUCCUGGUCGGACAUCAGGAGGUUAGUGCAAUGGCAUAAGCCAGCUUGACUGCGAGCGUGACGGCGCGAGCAGGUGCGAAAGCAGGUCAUAGUGAUCCGGUGGUUCUGAAUGGAAGGGCCAUCGCUCAACGGAUAAAAGGUACUCCGGGGAUAACAGGCUGAUACCGCCCAAGAGUUCAUAUCGACGGCGGUGUUUGGCACCUCGAUGUCGGCUCAUCACAUCCUGGGGCUGAAGUAGGUCCCAAGGGUAUGGCUGUUCGCCAUUUAAAGUGGUACGCGAGCUGGGUUUAGAACGUCGUGAGACAGUUCGGUCCCUAUCUGCCGUGGGCGCUGGAGAACUGAGGGGGGCUGCUCCUAGUACGAGAGGACCGGAGUGGACGCAUCACUGGUGUUCGGGUUGUCAUGCCAAUGGCACUGCCCGGUAGCUAAAUGCGGAAGAGAUAAGUGCUGAAAGCAUCUAAGCACGAAACUUGCCCCGAGAUGAGUUCUCCCUGACUCCUUGAGAGUCCUGAAGGAACGUUGAAGACGACGACGUUGAUAGGCCGGGUGUGUAAGCGCAGCGAUGCGUUGAGCUAACCGGUACUAAUGAACCGUGAGGCUUAACCUUACAACGCCGAAG